Schistocerca americana (American grasshopper) is the source of this 75-nucleotide non-coding RNA. Lineage: Eukaryota; Metazoa; Arthropoda; Insecta; Orthoptera; Acrididae. The record is from the annotation of a RefSeq genome assembly.
GCCCUCACUGGUUCAGAUGGAUAGAACGUCUGCCCUGUAAGCAGGAGAUCCCGGGUUCGAGUCCCGGUCGGGGCA